UAAGAAAAUGGAGGGUCUCAAGA
RNAcentral lists this non-coding RNA (23 nucleotides) under Mus musculus (house mouse). The record is from RNAcentral. Lineage: Eukaryota; Metazoa; Chordata; Mammalia; Rodentia; Muridae.